AACGAACGCUGGCGGCAUGCCUAACACAUGCAAGUCGAACGAGACCUUCGGGUCUAGUGGCGCACGGGUGCGUAACGCGUGGGAAUCUGCUCUCUGGUUCGGAACAACAGUUGGAAACGACUGUUAAUACCGGAUAAUGACUUCGGUCCAAAGAUUUAUCGCCUGAGGAUGAGCCCGCGUAGGAUUAGCUUGUUGGUGAGGUAAAAGCUCACCAAGGCGACGAUCCUUAGCUGGUCUGAGAGGAUGAUCAGCCACACUGGGACUGAGACACGGCCCAGACUCCUACGGGAGGCAGCAGUGGGGAAUAUUGGACAAUGGGCGAAAGCCUGAUCCAGCAAUGCCGCGUGAGUGAUGAAGGCCUUAGGGUUGUAAAGCUCUUUUACCCGGGAUGAUAAUGACAGUACCGGGAGAAUAAGCCCCGGCUAACUCCGUGCCAGCCGCCGCCGUAA
This 449-nucleotide ribosomal RNA is filed under the name uncultured bacterium. RNAcentral's name for it is "partial 16S ribosomal RNA". It matches the Rfam family "Bacterial small subunit ribosomal RNA", at positions 29 to 523 of the family's 1533-position model. The record is from RNAcentral.